This 485-nucleotide ribosomal RNA is filed under the name uncultured bacterium. RNAcentral's name for it is "bacterial SSU rRNA". It matches the Rfam family "Bacterial small subunit ribosomal RNA", at positions 327 to 805 of the family's 1533-position model. The record is from RNAcentral.
AACCGAGAACUCCUACGGGAGGCAGCAGUGGGGAAUUUUGGACAAUGGGGGCAACCCUGAUCCAGCAAUGCCGCGUGAGUGAAGAAGGCCUUCGGGUAGUAAAGCUCUUUUGUCAGGGAAGAAACGGUAGUAGCUAAUAUCUAUUACUAAUGACGGUACCUGAAGAAUAAGCACCGGCUAACUACGUGCCAGCAGCCGCGGUAAUACGUAGGGUGCAAGCGUUAAUCGGAAUUACUGGGCGUAAGGCGUGCGCAGGCGGUUGUGUAAGUCAGAUGUGAAAUCCCCGGGCUCAACCUGGGAAUUGCAUUUGAGACUGCACGGCUAGAGUGCGUCAGAGGGGGGUAGAAUUCCACGUGUAGCAGUGAAAUGCGUAGAUAUGUGGAGGAAUACCGAUGGCGAAGGCAGCCCCCUGGGAUAACACUGACGCUCAUGCACGAAAGCGUGGGGAGCAAACAGGAUUAGAUACCCUAGUAGUCCGACUGAGA